UACGAAGGGGGCUAGCGUUGUUCGGAGUUACUGGGCGUAAAGGGCGCGUAGGCGGCGCACCAAGUCAGGCGUGAAAGCCCUGGGCUCAACCCGGGAAUUGCGCUUGAGACUGGUGUGCUUGAGUACGGGAGAGGAUAGUGGAAUUCCCAGUGUAGAGGUGAAAUUCGUAGAUAUUGGGAAGAACACCGGUGGCGAAGGCGGCUAUCUGGACCGUAACUGACGCUGAGGCGCGAAAGCGUGGGGAGCAAAGCAGG
This 254-nucleotide ribosomal RNA is filed under the name uncultured bacterium. Its description in RNAcentral is "partial 16S ribosomal RNA". It matches the Rfam family "Bacterial small subunit ribosomal RNA", at positions 524 to 777 of the family's 1533-position model. The record is from RNAcentral.